This is a long non-coding RNA of Musa acuminata AAA Group (dessert banana), 754 nucleotides long. RefSeq lists it as uncharacterized. NCBI's taxonomy places the organism in Eukaryota, Viridiplantae, Streptophyta, Magnoliopsida, Zingiberales, Musaceae. The transcript is spliced from 2 exons. The record is from RefSeq and is a predicted model, not a curated record.
AAUGGUUCCCAGCAGUAACCUCUUUCCAAAUUUUCUGUCCAAAGUUGGCACACAAGAAAGAUUUCCAAGAUUUAAGAUGAUCAAUUUUCUUCACCCAGAGCACAAAAAAAGAAAAGCAAGACUGUUCAUAAUAGCUACAGGUAAAAAAAACAUGACCAACAUAAGUAUGUAGCACGUGAUAACACUUGGUUUGUGGUCACACACCAAACUCCCUUCUAAAAGUCUUUAUUGGAUCACUACCUGUUUCCACUAAUGCCUAUCGGCCUAACAGAAAUUAACUUCCUGUGAAGAAAAAGGUCCCAGCAACAUUAUUGCACAUCCUGUGAUUGCCAUCACAACCACCAAGAAGAGCAGAGCUAUUUAGAGGAAUUGCGAAGAAGGGACAGCAGAAAGAGAAGAUGACUCAUUCUCGCUUCCUCUCACUGCUGCUCAUCGCAGGAUUUAUCUCAUUGUCCUUCUCUGUAGGUCUCUACCUCAGGUUCUUCUAUCAUCUUUUUGUUGAGGUAAAGCUUCAAAAUGAGUAUGAGCCUUUCAUAAAUGGAAGAAAGAUCAUUAUGAGACAUCUGUCUGAUCCUGAGUAAAGCAUGGUGCAAGCCUACUGAGAAUCUGGAGCUAAACACUAAUCCAACGAGUGGAGUCAUCUGCAACAACACAUCCUGUAGCUAAAAUACUGCUAAUAAUAUUUACUCUUAACCCCAAAAGUGAAACAAAGAACAUGUAAAUCCUAAAAUGAAAUAAAGCAAGGAGUUCUCUA